UAGGGAAUCUUCGGCAAUGGGGGGAACCCUGACCGAGCAACGCCGCGUGAGUGAAGAAGGUUUUCGGAUCGUAAAGCUCUGUUGUUAAGGAAGAACGAGAGUGAGAAUGGAAAGUUCAUACUGUGACGGUACUUAACCAGAAAGGGACGGCUAACUACGUGCCAGCAGCCGCGGUAAUACGUAGGUCCCGAGCGUUGUCCGGAUUUAUUGGGCGUAAAGCGAGCGCAGGCGGUUAGAAAAGUCAGAAGUGAAAGGCAGUGGCUCAACCAUUGUAUGCUUUGGAAACUGUUUAACUUGAGUGCAGAAGGGGAGGGUGGAAUUCCAUGUGUAGCGGUGAAAUGCGUAGAUAUAUGGAGGAACACCGGUGGCGAAAGCGGCUCUCUAGUCUGUAACUGACGCUGAGGCUCGAAAGCGUGGGGAGCGAACAGG
This 429-nucleotide ribosomal RNA is filed under the name Bacteroidota bacterium. RNAcentral describes it as "Bacteroidetes bacterium partial 16S ribosomal RNA". It matches the Rfam family "Bacterial small subunit ribosomal RNA", at positions 355 to 776 of the family's 1533-position model. Lineage: Bacteria; Pseudomonadati; Bacteroidota. The record is from RNAcentral.